GAUCUGUGAUUGGGUCAGGGUCGAAGGCCUAAAUGUUAGUGCUUAUGAAGAUCCAUAUGUGUUCAUUGCAUCUGCGAAUCAAGCUCCACUAAUUUCAAAAUCUGUAGAAAACAACUAGUAUUGGGAUGUAGAUCAGGAAAUAAGAUAAAACCAAGGAUUUCAGAACUGUCAUCGAGAACUUUGUUGACCUUGCUGGUAGGGGAAGAGCUACUCAGACACAUGCAUACUGGCUAGGCUAAGGGAAGGUAGCCACAUUAACCUUAUUCUAAUGACUCCGACUACUGUAAUCAUAAACA
This is a long non-coding RNA of Papaver somniferum (opium poppy), 296 nucleotides long. RefSeq lists it as uncharacterized. The transcript has 3 exons. NCBI's taxonomy places the organism in Eukaryota, Viridiplantae, Streptophyta, Magnoliopsida, Ranunculales, Papaveraceae. The record is from RefSeq and is a predicted model, not a curated record.